GACGAAGGGGGCUAGCGUUGUUCGGAAUUACUGGGCGUAAAGCGCGUGUAGGCGGUUGUCCAAGUUGGCUGUGAAAGCCUUGAGCUUAACUCAAGAAAUGCAUUCAGGACUGGAUGACUAGAGGACCGGAGAGGAUAGUGGAAUUCCCAGUGUAGUGGUGAAAUACGUAGAGAUUGGGAAGAACACCAGUGGCGAAGGCGGCUAUCUGGACGGUUUCUGACGCUAAGACGCGAAAGCGUGGGGAGCAAACAGG
RNAcentral lists this ribosomal RNA (253 nucleotides) under uncultured bacterium. RNAcentral's name for it is "partial 16S ribosomal RNA". It matches the Rfam family "Bacterial small subunit ribosomal RNA", at positions 524 to 776 of the family's 1533-position model. The record is from RNAcentral.